AAUAUCAGUAGAUUCGGUAGAAGAAAGAAAUAUAAUAGCAGCAUUCAAAACAAGAUAAAAACACAAAAAAUUAUAGUGAUAUUUGGUAUGGAGGAGCUUGUAGCUGUUACAUUUUUUUGCAGGAGAUAAAGCAAGGAAACGUACUCAAAUUGAGGCACAAUAGUAUUAGGCUGAGUUUAACACUAUCUUUUUCCAAAUACUGUGGACAGGUACUGCUUACCCAGGGGUUUAAAUGAUGCAAACACGAAAUUGCCAAAUUGUUAACUGCAGUAUGAUUCCUAACUGUGAGAAGGAUGGAAGGUGGCUGCUUGCGUUGCUGAGAGUGUCUGACUUUGUGGCAGGCAGACUGAUAGAAGUUCUGUAAUGCAGGUUAGGUGAGUUGGCACGGGGAUAUGUAUGAUGAAAUAUUGCCCGUAUGGUUUUGUAGCCCUGCUUCACAAUUCUACCAGUAUUUCUGAAGGAGUCAAUGGAGGGCAGUUGGAUACGGUGUACUGCCUCUCCAACAACUGUGAGUCACCGUCAUCACCAUUCGUCUUAUAAAAUGAUGGUGUAGUUCAGUAAGUGGGAAAGUUCCCUUCUGAAGAGGAUGUGAGAAAUGAAAAUAGAAGUUUGCAGAAUAAAGGGAGUUUUCCACUAGAGUCUUACUAGGUUAGGCUGGGUACAUCAGUGUAUUUGUAAAGCAGCAGAAAAAGGUCACAACACUUAAUGACUGACAGGCAAAAUGGCAGAUGAAAUUCUAUGGUAAUAAAUGCAAAAUAAUUUGUUUAGGGAGGAAAAUCAGCUGCAAGUGUAUGUUAUUCAGUGCUAGACUCUACUGUUUACUCUUUGGGGAAAGAGAUCUUGAAAUAGUUGCAGGUAGGUCUACGUAAAAUAGCUCACAUCUAGUCAAAACAACAAAUAAAUUUUAGGAAUAAAUAGGAAGAGGACAGAGAACUAAACAGAAACCAUCACUGACUUGCUUAAGUAUGGGACAGAUUUCUUAUUUGUCACAGGCCAAGAAAAUAAUUAUUCAUUUACUUAAAUACUGACUGGUUUCAUAGGAAGCCAAUCCAUUUAAAAAAGCAGGUCCAAAGGGUGAUGAAAGCAUCAAAAUGUUUCAGUGAAACUUCACCCCUCAAAAAUCAAGUUCGUAAUUAGAAGCCACUUUGUAAAUGGUUUCUCCAAUCCCCUACAGCUGUAGGAUUGACAGACUCCUUAAGCUGGCUAUAAGAAAAAAUUUCAUGAUUGAUUUGUCAUACCAUAACUACCAAGAAACAUCAGGCCUGUAGGAAAAUGGGCUAGUGAGCAACCCACAACACAUACAGAGCUAUUUCUGUAUCUUUCAGCAUGUAAAGUUUUCCCAGUUUGUUGAGUGGGCAAAAAUCCUUAGGGUUUUGGCUUUUUUUGACAUGCAAUGGUAUGUGGUGAUGUCUAACGAUGUUUUACUUUAAAUGUUACAAAUUAACUCUCAAAACCAAUUUGCUGCUGAUGCUUCAUGUACAAAUAAUUUCAAGACAAUAUGAUUCUAUGAUUUCAGUGUUAAUUUUUAUUAAGGAUCAAAGAGAUAGGAUGCAGAGUGAGAAGUGGACACAGGAUUCUGUUGAGAGGGGAACAGAAGUACAUUCUCGUGCAAAUGUCAUACAUAUUAGCCAGCAUUUUAUUAACAGUUACUGUAGCUUUCUUUUCUCAUUCCCAUGCUUUCUGGGGUUUGAAGAGGUGGUCUCAUCUCUCCCCCUCCUUCCUGUGCAAUAAAUAGUUAACAGCAUGGUCAUUUUCAGUGUCCUGAGGCAGUCCUUUGUAUUAACAAUUAAUCAGGAGAGACACCCUCUCAGUUAUUGUUUCAGGCUCUCUUUCUGCAGGCUCACAAAAACGUUCUGGUUCAUGUUUAGCAAUUUCACACUCAGAAGGACUUGGGUUAGCCAGGAGGAUGAAGUUAUUAUUAUUUCCUUAAUGUCAGUGUAGUUCCUGUAGGCUCUGGAAGAACUGAUGAGAAAAGAUACAGUUGGCUUUUCCCGUGUUUGAGAUUUGACCGUUGCACAAAUUUGAACAUAUUCAUCAGUUAGACAAUAUAAAUAUAUGUAAUAUAUCCAUAUAUGUAUAUAUAUAUUGUGACAUCCAUAUCACAUUUUUGUUACUCCCUGUUUUGGAAACACAUUUGGGUGUCCAUUGCAUUAGCAGAAGCGGGAGUAACUCUAUUAGCAUUAUUUCUUUGGAUGGGCAUAGCAACUGCUGUGACAUCAAAUGCAGCUGAAAGCAUCCAAACUAAGGCAAGCUCUGCCAAGAGAGAAAGAAUUGUUAUUGUUGAGCACUGGAUGCCUAACGUGCAACACUUAAACAGCAGCACUAGCUUUUGGGAAAUACUGGUUGACUGGGAAAGAUGUUGCUGGCUUCAAAUGGCAAAUUCCCAUCUCUGUAAGGGCAAAAUGAAAUAUGUGAUGUUUAGAGAGAGAGCUUGUUAUUCCUCCUUCUCAACACAUUUCUAAAUAAGCAGUUUCCUGUUAGAAUGGAUUUCUCAGCUAGGUAUGAUAGAUUUCAUGUGACUGAUCGAAGUAGAGGAAAAUAAAGAGAGGAAAGGGAUCAGAAAGGCUGAUAAGAAUGAGAGUGAUUCAUCCAAUCGCUUAUCAUCCAACUUUGAUUAUAUUUUGCAAUGUACUGUAAAUACCCAUAUGGUACUUUUACGUUUUGGGGGAAUUCUUUGAACUUCUGCUCAACUAACUUCCAUGGAAAUUUGUAUGAAUAAUGGCCUUGGACUUCUUAAUGUGGAAAUAAUUGUCCUCCUGCCAGAUGCCACCUUGUCAGCUUGUCUGGUGCUACCACAGAUUUCUGGCUGUGCUAAGCUAGGCCAGGCUUUGAGAAGAGAAUCUACAUCAGGCUGCCUUACUUGUCCAGUGUACUAAGAAUUGCAUACUUCUGGAAACUGUAAACUUCAUUCCUAGACCUGGACAUGACUGGCCAGCUUCAUCACUGUUGUUCACUCAUUCUUUUUAGUCUCUGCUGAUGUCACUUGGAAUAAAAACCUACCAAGAGAAGUACUUCCCUCCUUGUGUCAAAAUGAUAAAACCAAUAUUUCCAGCAAAUGCUCCCUUGCUUCUUUUGUUUGCUUCUGUUUAUGUAAGCAAUUACCAAGAUGUUGUAAAGGAUAACUCAUAAUUGGGAGUCUGGGGAUGUACUGUUUUCCCUUUGAAAUAUGAAAAACGUAGAUGUUGCUUCUGGCACUGUGCUAAGUGGUAGGCCAUGCUUCUCGUUGUGGGAGCAUGAGCAGGGUAGGCAAAUGGUAGCAGACAGGUGGUGAGCAGCAUGGAUCUGGUAGCAGCAGUGAUUGCAGUGCUUCCCUUCAGGGCCAUCAAAAGCCCUCAUGUAACUAGUCAAGAAACAGCCAUGUAUCAAUGAAAUAAAGCCAGAGUAUAAUUAAACAAUAAAGCAUGACAAACUGCAUUUCCAGGGAAUUACAACAUGCCUUGGGUGGAGUUAUAAGGCAUGAGGCCAAAGGUUGGAUGGCUUUAAUCACCCAAGACACACAGAAUGCCGACAGUGCUGGAGAAAGGGCGAGUGGGAUGGUCUGGUCUGAUUUCUGCAGUCAGCUUAGAAACCAAGUGUUGAUGUUAUCCUGUUUGGGUACAGACCUAUCUGUAGCUCUUGUGUGCUUUUUGCUGUGCGUGGCUCAACUGCUCAGCUUCUACAAGUGAGGCUAGCACAUGCAAGCACCUGAGCAGGUCUGAGGGUGGGACAGGAAGUUUUACCCCAGAUUCAGGCAGUUUUUUCCAGCCUCUGUGCCAGGGCUGGGAUUUCCAUGAGGAAAGCUCAAAGUAAUGAGAGCAGCUGUCAACUCUGGUACGAGGAGCAAGGAACCAAUCAGAUGAGAGGAAGCUCCGGGUGCUAGGGCUGGGGAGCCCUGAGGUGACAUUUCUGUCAGCUCAGUCCCAGACAGUCAAGCCUGGGACUUGGCAUGGGGAUGAGCUGGAAGCCCGAGUGACUUUGUCCGUAUGUACUUUCGUACAGGGGGCCGUGAGAUUUCCAGGAGCUGUGGGUGGGAUGGCCAGCUGCUUCCUCUUCCUGCUGAUCUUCUCCAAGUGACCUCUGAAGGAUCUGAAGCAUUACCCCAGAGGUAGGUGUGAGGCGAUGCUUGCAGGUGCAGCGUUUCUCAUACCCCAUAUUCUUCCUUUUAGAUUCUGGCAUUUGGCUGGAGAGGUACAAGGCUGCUGAGACAGAAGAAUUCUGCUGGGUAUCAGGAUAAGAGGUGCUCAUAUAUGAAAAUUUUGGCCAAACAUCUGUUGGGAUGUAAAUACAGAAGGAGUAUUUGCCUGCUGGCUGCAUUACCUGUGUAGGAACAAGAAGGCAGAUGGGAGUGUUCUGUUACGCAUAACAGGACUCAGGCUUCCCUUAAUGACCUCAUCCUGCUAACCCUGAAAAGGAAAUCCAAAGACCAUCUGCCAGAAGGAAACCCAGGUCAAAAUGAAGUGGUGGCAUGCGACAGCAGGUCCCAUGCACAGCAGGAGGAGCAGAACGGAGACAAGUGUUAUGCAGGGUCCUACGCCAAAUUUGGACAGGGGGAAUGUAAGGUCUGAUGGGAUUUCUCUCCUGUCUUCUUUAUGUGCCCACGACAUCGGCUGUUAGAAGUGAUCUAAGAAUUGGGAAUGCUCAGACACAAAAAGAAAAAAGAAUAAUUGACACAAUGUGCAAUCGAUCUCUGGGCACCAGCGUUGCAGGAUAUUACAAGUACGAAUAGCAGACAGUUGGCUGAAAGACUGAGAAGACUGCCAGACACCAAUAUUAAAUGAAAAUGUCAUCUAGGUCUCAUUAUGGACUUUCCAAGAAGUGGAGAAAUACAAACUAUAUACUGAAACCAUCAUUCCUCUCCAAGUGUUGGAAGCUCCCUUGCUGAGACGUGCAUCCACUGCCACUUAGUCUUUUGAUGUUCCAAGAACAGUCUCUCUGCGACCACACAUUAGAGAUCUGGAGUUUGUCCACUAUUUCCUGCAGAGGAACAUUAGUAAAAAUCAUCCAGAGGAUCCCAGUGAAGGAAACUGCAUUUUGAUGUUAUUGAGAGGAGACAUUGUGGUGGAUAACUGGUAGUGCAAGACUACAAGUACUGGGCAGAAAAUUUAAGAGAAAGGGUAUUCAUCCUAGUUUAAAUUUAGCCAUCUGGAGAGUGUAAGCACAAAUGGGAAAUGGGGAGAAAAUGUUGCCCUUCUUUCUUUCUCUGGUGGAUAACAAGUUUGUCAAGCCUGUCCUGGUGAGACCAUCCAGUCCUGGGUGUGGAGCUUGAUCCUCCUCAGAUGUCAGUAUGACCACAUCCCUAUCCUGUUUUCCAGAGUCUUCCGGUGUUGGAAGAUGACCUGGUUCUGGCAGAGAAAUCAGCGUUGUCAAGUUGAGGAUGUGACCCACUACAUGCAUUUACUUUAAAUGAAACAAACGUUUUCUUCUACAAACACAGGAUGUACCAGCAUGUGUGUAAAGUAUUUAUAUUACCCUGUGCCUUUCCACUGGCAUCAGUAGAAGUUCUGGGUUGGCCUCUUCUCUCUUGUAACUAGUGAAAGGACAAGGGGGAAUGGCCUCAAGUUGCACCAGGGGAGACUUAGGCUGAACAUUAGGAAAUACUACUUUUCUGAAAGAGUGGUCAGGCGCUGGA
Numida meleagris (helmeted guineafowl) is the source of this 5608-nucleotide long non-coding RNA. RefSeq lists it as uncharacterized. The transcript is spliced from 13 exons. The record is from RefSeq and is a predicted model, not a curated record. Lineage: Eukaryota; Metazoa; Chordata; Aves; Galliformes; Numididae.